Molecule: ribosomal RNA, 502 nt
Filed under: uncultured bacterium
Lineage: Bacteria
Description: partial 16S ribosomal RNA
Rfam family: Bacterial small subunit ribosomal RNA
Source: RNAcentral
GAUGAACGCUAGCGGCAGGCCUAACACAUGCAAGUCGAGGGGCAGCACAGAAACAGCAAUGUUUUGGUGGCGACCGGCGGACGGGUGCGUAACGCGUAUGCAACCUACCUUUAACAGGGGGAUAACGGAGAGAAAUUUCCACUAAUACCCCAUAACAUCGAUCAAGGCAUCUUGAUUGGUUGAAAACUCCGGUGGUUAAAGAUGGGCAUGCGUUGUAUUAGGUAGUUGGUGAGGUAAUGGCUCACCAAGCCUACGAUACAUAGGGGGACUGGGAGGUUAUCCCACCACUAUGGUACUGAGACACGGACCAGAAUCCUACGGGAGGCAGCAGUGAGGAAUAUUGGUCAAUGGGGGCAACCCUGAACCAGCCAUGCCGCGUGCAGGAAGACGGCUCUAUGAGUUGUAAACUGCUUUUAAACAGGGAUAAAGCACAGUAUGUAUACUGUGUUGAAGGUACUGUAAGAAUAAGGAUCGGCUAACUCCGUGCCAGCCGCCGCAGUAA